GCCUGGGUGGCUCAGUUGGUUGAGCAUCUGACUUCGGCUCAGGUCAUAAUCUCAUGAGUUCGAGCCCCGUGUCGGGCU
Molecule: transfer RNA, 78 nt
Filed under: Felis catus (domestic cat)
Lineage: Eukaryota; Metazoa; Chordata; Mammalia; Carnivora; Felidae
Rfam family: tRNA
About the family: Transfer RNA (tRNA) molecules are approximately 80 nucleotides in length. Their secondary structure includes four short double-helical elements and three loops (D, anti-codon, and T loops).
Source: Rfam by way of RNAcentral